GAUGAACGCUGGCGGCGUGCCUAACACAUGCAAGUCGAGCGAGGGUUUGCUCAGUAUUGAGUAUUCUAAAACUAGAAUGUUCAAUUCUGAGCAAAACCAAGCGGCGGACGGGUGAGUAACGCGUGGGUAACCUGCCCUAUACACAUGGAUAACAUACUGAAAAGUUUACUAAUACAUGAUAAUAUAUAUUUGCGGCAUCGCAGAUAUAUCAAAGUGUUAGCGGUAUAGGAUGGACCCGCGUCUGAUUAGCUAGUUGGUGAGAUAACUGCCCACCAAGGCGACGAUCAGUAGCCGACCUGAGAGGGUGAUCGGCCACAUUGGAACUGAGACACGGUCCAAACUCCUACGGGAGGCAGCAGUGGGGAAUAUUGCACAAUGGGCGAAAGCCUGAUGCAGCAACGCCGCGUGAACGAUGAAGGUCUUCGGAUCGUAAAGUUCUGUUGCAGGGGAAGAUAAUGACGGUACCCUGUGAGGAGGCCCCGGCUAACUACGUGCCAGCAGCCGCGGUAAUACGUAGGGGGCUAGCGUUAUCCGGAUUUACUGGGCGUAAAGGGUGCGUAGGUGGUCCUUCAAGUCGGUGGUUAAAGGCUACGGCUCAACCGUAGUAAGCCGCCGAAACUGGAGGACUUGAGUGCAGGAGAGGAAAGUGGAAUUCCCAGUGUAGCGGUGAAAUGCGUAGAUAUUGGGAGGAACACCAGUAGCGAAGGCGGCUUUCUGGACUGCAACUGACACUGAGGCACGAAAGCGUGGGUAGCAAACAGG
Molecule: ribosomal RNA, 762 nt
Filed under: uncultured Peptostreptococcus sp.
Lineage: Bacteria; Bacillati; Bacillota; Clostridia; Peptostreptococcales; Peptostreptococcaceae
Description: bacterial SSU rRNA
Rfam family: Bacterial small subunit ribosomal RNA
Source: RNAcentral